GGCCUGAUGGUCUAGGGGUAUGAUUCUCGCUUUGGGUGCGAGAGGUCCCGGGUUCAAAUCCCGUUCAGGCCC
This 72-nucleotide transfer RNA is filed under the name Penaeus chinensis. Its description in RNAcentral is "tRNA-Pro". It matches the Rfam family "tRNA". From Rfam's summary of the family: Transfer RNA (tRNA) molecules are approximately 80 nucleotides in length. Their secondary structure includes four short double-helical elements and three loops (D, anti-codon, and T loops). The record is from RNAcentral. Lineage: Eukaryota; Metazoa; Arthropoda; Malacostraca; Decapoda; Penaeidae.